RNAcentral lists this long non-coding RNA (4077 nucleotides) under Nothobranchius furzeri (turquoise killifish). RNAcentral describes it as "lncRNA (ENSNFUG00015014158.1)". The record is from RNAcentral. Lineage: Eukaryota; Metazoa; Chordata; Actinopteri; Cyprinodontiformes; Nothobranchiidae.
AAAGGAGAAGAAGAAGAUGUUUGGCCUGAAAGUAAGAAAGAAGAAGGAUAUCCCAGACCUGGUCCUGGCAAACAAGGGAGCUGUGGAAAGUGAAGGGGAGGUGCCUGCUGAAGUGCCUGUGCUGCCAGAGGAAGAGCGCAUGGAGGAUCAGCCUGAAGUCAGAUCCAGAAUUAUCCUGAACAGAAAGAGGUGGGAUACAUCAAUCCAAGUGAAAUCAUCUUUUGUUUUAGGAGUUAAAAAGUCCAAACAUGUUGCUGAAAUUAGCAGAAUUUAAUAAAAAAGACGCAAUCAUUUAAAAACUGGAGCCACCUGUUGGUCCAUUAGGAAAAUCAUAACCACCAGUUAAUAUUUCAUGCCAACUGCUUACCAAAUGAUUAGUUCUCAUCACCUAUUUUGGCCGUUUAGGGUUCACGUUUGGACAGCAAAUCUUCAUCAGUUUCCUGUACUCAUCUUGUUAAGUACCCUGUACUUGCCUCUACUUACCUCUAUAAAUGCUUCAUAAGUAACCCUGUAAGUACUAAAGGGUAUCAUGUUUUGCUGCCAAAACAUUUGUUGAAAAAUGUAAGAGAAGUAUUUUUUAAAGUUCGUCAGCACAUUUGCUUUCAUUUGAACUACUCUGUUAUUUUACUUCAGUGAUUUUUAAAAGUAUAUUUUACAGUCUCCUGUCUGGGAACAGGCAGGUUUCCUGGGUUAGCCGGACGCAUGGACCGGUGGGCUGUUGUCAUGCUGGUCAUUGGUGGAUCUCUGAGAGAGACCACAGAAACGCUGCAGCUCUUCUUGUUGACUCUGCUUCACUUUUGAGUCACUCAACUGCCUUUCUCUCGCUAAUAGUUUGCUGGUUGAAUGGGGCAAAAUUCUAUGCAUUUACCACAACACUACUUGGUUUAAGAUGAGUUGAAAUAAAAUGUGUUGGUGUGGCUGUUGUGUAAAUAAAACUAGAGCAACAUAUCUGACCAAAGAUAGCGGAGGCUAUCGGGCUUCACUGUUCUGCUGCGGUCAAAGAUCCGUGAGUCCGCCGUUGUCGACGGUCCCAGUGUACUGCGACAUGGCUCUUGGCUCAGUGUCAAUACAGUGCCGGUAGCCGAGUCGACGCUCUCAGAGACGGGAUCGUCCACAAUGGCUGAAUCACGGAUGUUUGACCGUGGUGGACCAGCGAAGGCCUAUGUCCUCGGUCAGCUUAAUUAGUUAUUACUAAGUUAUUAGUUGCCACUAAGCAGGCUGGAGGUGCCUUCACUUUGGAGUCACUCUACCACGUAUUUCUUGCUAAAAAAAAACUUUGUUAGCUUCGAGUUAGCAUGUAGCUAAUAUCCUGUUGAUCUCCGACCAUGGAGCGUGAGCUGAUGUAAAAAAAAAAAACAGCACCCGGCUAUGAUCUGUCAUGUUCUGUGUUCCUUUGUUCCCCAGCCCCUCCAGUUCCCACUCCAGGUUCUCCUUUUGUGUUUCAUAGUGCCCUCAUGUGUCCUUUGUCUGCGUCUCAUUUAUGUGUCUCUUUGUGUUCCUCAUUUGUCCCCUGGUCUUCAGCCUUCCAAAUAUAUCUCUCAGGUCCUGUGUUCCUUUAGUCUUCUCCAGUCACCCCUCUGCAGUGUUUAUAGUUUCAGCUUUUCAUUUUAUUAGUCUCUUUUAUAUGUUUUGUUCCACCAGUCUUUGUAGUUCUCCUUUCCUUUAGAAUAUUAGUUAUGUGGUUGCUUUUCUUGUUUUUAGGUUUUUUCUUAGGUCAUGUGAGUUCCCUCCCUUAUUAAGUGUUGCUUUCACCUGGUCCUCUCCCCACACACCUGCAGCUCAUCUGCCUCCCAUCAUGCCCCAGUUUAUUUAAGCCCUGUCUUGUCUUAGUGGCUUGUCGGUCCAUUGUUGUUUGUUCAGUGUUGUUUUGGUGCUCUGUGUAAGUUUCCGGUCUCAUUCCCAGUCUGUGCUCUAAGUGAGCUUUUUUUCCUGUUCCUGGAUCUUCGGUUUUUGGCUCCCUGCCUUUUUGGAUUUAUUUUUAUUUUGGACUCAUCCUAAAAUAAAAGGAUUUUCUUUAUAUCAACUCCUGCCUCGUGUCAUCCUGGGUAUCUGCAUUUUGGGUCCAAACCAUCCUCUCAUCGUGUCACGAUCAGAGGUCUGAAGCUCUGCUCAUAAUUUAACUGUCCCAGUCCAUAUUAGAUCUCCACAGGUGACCACCAUGACUAUAGCCUCGCACCGUAGCAAGUCGGCCGAGCGGGUGGACUACCCCGGUCAACUGGAGCCCCUUCUUAUUUUCUUGGGUUAGCUAAGUUAGCUAGUAGAGACAUUGGUUCAUUUGUUUCAACCAUGGUUCCAACCGUAACAGCCCCACCCUCAGCUCCACCUCUUUUCCACUUUUUGGAUUGUCUUGGCGUGACGAGAUGUGUGACACAGUCAAAAUGGCCAUGGUGGGAACCUCACAUGUGGAAACAAAAACUAAUAAUUCGAGCCUAUGGAAAUGUCCAGUAUACAGUAUAUAUCGAUGGUGACAACUGGUUUGAUUUGGGAGCUAACCUUAGUUGUUGAAUUUUUACUGAUGAUAUUUUUACAUUGAAACUUUGUCCCAUGAAGUAGAGGGAGACAGACAUGAACAAGGUUGUGGUAGAUGGUUCCAUCUGGACUCAAAACCCAAGGUUACAAGGUGACCAGAAAUAAAAAGGACCAGUUUGUCCGAGAGAUAACUAACUGUUAAAACAAACACAAAUUUCUGGUAAAACAUAGAAAAUAAACUUCCAGGUUUGGGGUAGAUUAGCAAAAGCGAGUUUGGGAGGUCUGACUCUAUUUUUGGGGCUUUGGUUGUUGGUUUGUGGAAUUUGAGGAAAAAUGCUAUUUUCAGUUGAUUGUGUCACCUUAGAACUUGGUCACAAGCUCCAAGGUGCUUGGUCACACAUUGUUUGCACUGACCCUGUGUGGGUCUAACUGGCACUAAAGUCAGGUGUCAUGUGUUGGUACAGAACACACAGCAGAUGGAAGGAGGACUGAUCACUCAAGCACGUCCUGGCUCUGUUUGUCUUUGGCGUUACUGUUUUUCCUGGGUGACAGAUUUUUUUAUUUUUGUGUUAUGAUGAUAAAAGGGAGCUGCAUCAGUGAAGCACAGUUGUGUGUGUGUGUGUGUGUGUGUUUGUGUUUGUUUGGUAUGUGAGUGCACGUGCCUGUAUGUGCAUGUGUGUAUGCACUUCUGUUAGGACAAAUAUCAGAGGAUUAAGAGGACAACUUUUUUUAACACUUUCCCACACACAGCCAGUUUAAGGUGCACACAUGUAAAAGUAUGACUGAAAACAUGGUCAUAUAACAAAUCUAAAAUGUAAACUGAAACAUAAAGUAAACAUAAUUUAAAUGUCACAUGUUGAGGUAUCAGGAUUAGCUAGUUUAAUGUAAAGGUGCUGUAGUUCACUAAUUGUCCAGCAGAAUGACUGUUAGUGUGACCUCAUAGCAGCAACAUUCAUUUCUGUGAUGGCUCUUACAUAAACGCUGUUUAACAUCCUGGUGGUGUGUGUUUAUUGUCCUGUAUCAUUUACCAGACUGAAGAAGUCUGAAGAGACGGUUAGCAGGGUGGGUUGAGUCCUUUAGGAUGUUUGUGGUUUUUUGAAGGCAGCGAAUGGUGAAGAUGUCAUCCAGGGCAGACAGGUGUGUGUCUGUUAUUUUCUCUGUAGUUUUGAUUACUCUCUGCAGGGCCUUCCUGUCAGCUGCAGAGCUGAUGCUGUACCACACCAGGAUGCUGUUGGUCAGGACACUCUAUGGAGCAGUGAUACAACCACACCAGCAGUUUUUGUGGCAGGUUGAUCUUCCUGAGAGCUUUAAGGAAGUAUAGCCGUUGUUGUACCUUCUUUAUCAGACAUUUGGUGUUGUGCCCAUAUGAGGUCCUCUGAUAUGUUUGUGCUCAGGAACUUGAACUGUAACACCCUCUGCACCUGCUCCCUAUUUAUUGUGAGUGACUGAUGCUCCACCUUUUUCUUCUUGGGUCAACGUUGAUUUCUUUGGUUUUGUUGGUGUUCAGGGUCAGGUUGUUAGCUGUGCACCAGUCCAUUAUCUCUGCCUGACCCAAACACAGUCUUGUUAUCCUAAUCUGACGCCAAGGCAGCCUUGAACUGCCAACAA